AGGCGGUGGGGGGAAGGAGGGGGGUUGCCGUGGUCCUCCAAGGGGGGGUUCUGUGAUUUCUGGGUCCUCCAAGGAGGGGGUCCGACUGUACCCAAGUCCUCCAAGGACCCCCCAGAGUCCUCCAAGGGGGAGUUCUGUGAUUUCUGAGUCCUCCAAGGAAGGGGUCCGGCUGUACCUAAGUCCUCCAAGGACCCCCCAAAGUCCUCCAAGGGGGGGUUCUGUGGUCUCUGGGUCCUCCAAGGAGGGGGUCCGACUGUACCCAAGUCCUCCAAGGACCCCCCAAAGUCCUCCAAGGGGGGAUUCUGAGAUCUCUGGGUCCUCCAAGGGGGAAUUCUGUGGUCCCUGGGUCCUCCAAGGAAGGGGUCUGACUGUACCCAAGUUCUCCAAGGACCCCCCAAAGUCCUCCAAGGGGGGGGUUCUGUGAUCUCUGGGUCCUCCAAGGAAGGGGUCCGACUGUACCCCAGUCCUCCAAGGGCCCCCCCAAGUCCUCCAAGGGGGGGAUCUCCCCGUUCCCGUGCCCCCCAACUUCUUUUUUUGUCUCUUUCUCUCUCCCACAGGGGCCGCGCCAGAGCCACCUCCUGGUACUCCCCCUAUUGAAAGCCGUCAGCGCCCCACAAGUGUGGGG
Molecule: long non-coding RNA, 625 nt
Filed under: Numida meleagris (helmeted guineafowl)
Lineage: Eukaryota; Metazoa; Chordata; Aves; Galliformes; Numididae
Description: lncRNA (ENSNMEG00000000895.1)
Source: RNAcentral